This 292-nucleotide ribosomal RNA is filed under the name uncultured bacterium. RNAcentral describes it as "partial 16S ribosomal RNA". It matches the Rfam family "Bacterial small subunit ribosomal RNA", at positions 505 to 796 of the family's 1533-position model. The record is from RNAcentral.
GUGCCAGCCGCCGCGGUAAUACGUAGGAUGCUAGCGUUGUCCGGAAUUAUUGGGCGUAAAGAGCUCGUAGGCGGUCUGUUACGUCCGCUGUGAAAACCAAGGGCUUAACCUUGGGCUUGCAGUGGAUACGGGUAGACUAGAGGCAGGUAGGGGAGAAUGGAAUUCCCGGUGUAGCGGUGAAAUGCGCAGAUAUCGGGAGGAACACCGGUGGCGAAGGCGGUUCUCUGGGCCUGACCUGACGCUGAGGAGCGAAAGCGUGGGGAGCAAACAGGAUUAGAAACCCUUGUAGUCC